Molecule: long non-coding RNA, 933 nt
Filed under: Castor canadensis (American beaver)
Lineage: Eukaryota; Metazoa; Chordata; Mammalia; Rodentia; Castoridae
Description: lncRNA (ENSCCNG00000001597.1)
Source: RNAcentral
CCUUACAGCCAAGGCCUGUGGUAGGGAGCUAGGCUGCAGCGAGCGCGGCACUGACAGGGACGCGCGCGCGAUCGAGCUCGGACCCCGGGUCAAGGCCGCCAUCACCGCCGCUCGCUUAGUAGUCCCUCCGCCGCUUCCCCUCGCCAUGGAGGCGAGGCCGCCGCCGCCGCCACGGGGCUUCGAGCCAUGGGCCGGGCGGCGGCCCUGAGGGCGAGUGGCGGGCCGAGACAUCGCCGCGGAACUGAGGCGGAGCUGCCGUCCCCGUCCCCAGAGGUCCCGCCCAGCGCCGGACUCAGUAGAACAGCAACAAAAAGGUAUUUAUGGAAUUCAAAUGAGUGGUGAUGGAUGAUGUAGUUCGAAUAGCUAAGAUAUUCCUGCCCUCCUCUGAAGUCCUCCUACUUUAUUGACUAGAUUACUUCUGAAGACAUUAGUAAGUGACCUUUCUUACCUCAAACUGCCUUAGUUGAUCCUCCAUCCUGCUGUUAAUUAUUGUUUCUAAAAAUCCACAUUGUUCCAGUCAAUUUCCUUGUGUUCAAAGGUAGCUGAACCACAGUGGUGGUUCCCCAUUGUGCUCACUGGUAAGUCAGAACAUUUUAUUUUGGGGGAAAACAACAAAAUUCAUACUAUUGUGGCUCACAGGCCCCUUGGUGAUAUGAUGCCCACCUAUUCUCACCUCAUUUUGUGCAUUAUACCCUCAAUCCUACUAGCACCAAUCUUUCCUGUCUGCCAUUUUCACAUUCAUUUAAUGAGUUCCAGGCCAGCCUAGGCUACUUAGCAAAACCCUGUCUCAAAGAAACAAUACCCAUGCUGGAUGGUGAUGGCUCACACCUGUAAUCCUAUCUAUUUGGGAGGCUGAGAUCAGGAGGAUUGAGGUUCAAGGCCAGCCCAGGCAAAUAGUUUUUGAUGCAUGACUCAAGUGGUAAAGUGCUUGCA